This 392-nucleotide ribosomal RNA is filed under the name uncultured bacterium. RNAcentral describes it as "bacterial SSU rRNA". It matches the Rfam family "Bacterial small subunit ribosomal RNA", at positions 505 to 898 of the family's 1533-position model. The record is from RNAcentral.
GUGUCAGCAGCCGCGGUAAUACGUAGGUGGCAAGCGUUGUCCGGAAUUAUUGGGCGUAAAGGAUGCGUAGGCGGCUUUUUAAGUGGGAUGUGAAAUCCCCGGGCUUAACCCGGGAGCUGCAUUCCAUACUGGAAAGCUAGAGUGCAGGAGAGGAAAGUGGAAUUCCCAGUGUAGCGGUGAAAUGCGUAGAGAUUGGGAGGAACACCAGUGGCGAAGGCGACUUUCUGGACUGUAACUGACGCUGAGGCAUGAAAGCGUGGGGAGCAAACAGGAUUAGAUACCCUGGUAGUCCACGCUGUAAACGAUGAGUACUAGGUGUAGGGUCUUCCAGGCUCUGUGCCGCAGUUAACACAUUAAGUACUCCGCCUGGGAAGUACGGUCGCAAGACUAAA